Molecule: ribosomal RNA, 442 nt
Filed under: uncultured Leptolinea sp.
Lineage: Bacteria; Bacillati; Chloroflexota; Anaerolineae; Anaerolineales; Anaerolineaceae
Description: bacterial SSU rRNA
Rfam family: Bacterial small subunit ribosomal RNA
Source: RNAcentral
GCACAAGUAGCGGAGCGUGUGGUUAAUUCGUAGGCUACACGAAGAACCUUACAGGUUUGACAUGCAAGUGGUAGGAAUCCGAAGGUGACCGACCCUUCGGGAGCUUGCACAGGUGCUGCAUGGCUGUCGUCAGCUCGUGUCGUGAGAUGUUCGGUUAAGUCCGCUAACGAGCGCAACCCUCGUCGUGUGUUAUACGUGUCACACGAUACUGCCGGUAUCAAGCCGGAGGAAGGUGGGGAUGAUGUCAAGUCAGCAUGGCCUUUAUAUCCUGGGCUACACACACGCUACAAUGGCAGAUACAAUAGGUUGCGAAACCGCGAGGUGGAGCCAAUCCUCAAAGUCUGUCUCAGUUCAGAUUGUAGGCUGCAACUCGCCUGCAUGAAGUUGGAGUUGCUAGUAAACGCAGGUCAGCUAUACUGCGUUGAAUACGUUCCCGGGGUUU